AUACGGAGGACGCGAGCGUUAUCCGGAUUCAUUGGGUUUAAAGGGUGCGCAGGCGGCCGUGCAAGUCAGCGGUGAAAGCCCGGGGCUCAACCCCGGAAGUGCCGUUGAUACUGCAUGGCUGGAAUGCGGUCGAGGCGGGCGGAACGUGGCGUGUAGCGGUGAAAUGCGUAGAUAUGCCACAGAACGCCGAUAGCGGAGGCAGCUCGCCAGGCCUGCAUUGACGCUCGGGCACGAAAGCGUGGGGAUCGAACAGGAUUAGAUACCCUGGUAGUCCGCGCCGUAAACGAUGGGCGCUCGUCGUCGGCGACAGACAGUCGGCGGCCAAGCGAAAGCGAUAAGCGCCCCACCUGGGGAGUACGGUCGCAAGGCUGAAACUCAAAUGAAUUGACGGGG
Molecule: ribosomal RNA, 393 nt
Filed under: uncultured bacterium
Lineage: Bacteria
Description: partial 16S ribosomal RNA
Rfam family: Bacterial small subunit ribosomal RNA
Source: RNAcentral